RNAcentral lists this transfer-messenger RNA (384 nucleotides) under Bacilli. RNAcentral describes it as "Onthousia faecigallinarum Standard tmRNA". It matches the Rfam family "transfer-messenger RNA". From Rfam's summary of the family: Bacterial tmRNA, also known as 10Sa RNA or SsrA, is named for its dual tRNA and mRNA-like properties. The record is from RNAcentral. Lineage: Bacteria; Bacillati; Bacillota. RNAcentral also lists the same sequence under 1 other name.
GGGGAUGUUAUGGCUUCGACAGGAAUAGUAGAGCAUAAAUAGCAAGUCGAGUUGCUUACGUUACAAGCCAAACCAGAAUAACUGGAAACAAAGUUAAAAACGUACUUGCUAACCUAAAGAGUAGACUUACUCCACAGGUAGCAUUUGCCUAAGAAUAGGGAAAGUACACUGUCUUUCUUAAUUUCCUGUGUUAAGAUUGUACGGUUCAUUUAACAGGAUAUAGCUAUUUGUAGUCCGAGCAAGUAGUAGAAAUCUUAGGACUAGAAUGAUUGUUUGGUUGAUUGUUUCUUGGCAGUCAUUCGAAAUAAAAUAAACAAUCUAAACUUGUAGAAGUUUAUGUAGCUCUAUUUUUGGACAGGGGUUCGAAUCCCCUCAUCUCCACCA